RNAcentral lists this ribosomal RNA (369 nucleotides) under uncultured Glomeromycotina. Its description in RNAcentral is "LSU rRNA". Lineage: Eukaryota; Fungi; Glomeromycota. The record is from RNAcentral.
UUGAAAGGGAAACGAUUGAAGUCAGUCGUACCGACGGAAAAUCAACCUUUGGAGGGCGAGUCGAGGUAUUCGAGGAGUUUAAAAGCCCUUGUGUGCUUCCGUAUCGUGCUUCUUGGGUGCUUUUCUUCGUAUGGUAGGUUAACAUCAAUUUUGGACGUUACAAAAUGACCGGGGGAAUGUAGCUUCGAUUUUUCGAAGUGUUAUAGCCCUUGGUAGAUGUGACGACCGGGAUUGAGGAUUGCAACGAAUGCUUUCGGGCUAUCCGUCUGACCUCUGGUGGUUGCUUUGGGGUCGAAAGCGUGCUUACGGCUUUAAAGUUGGCUAUCAAAAGGCUAGAACGUGAUUAAAUUCGUUAAGGAUGUUGACGUA